RNAcentral lists this ribosomal RNA (517 nucleotides) under uncultured bacterium. RNAcentral describes it as "bacterial SSU rRNA". It matches the Rfam family "Bacterial small subunit ribosomal RNA", at positions 366 to 896 of the family's 1533-position model. The record is from RNAcentral.
CGGUCAAUGGGCGCAAGCCUGACCGAGCAACGCCGCGUGCGGGAUGACGGCCUUCGGGUGUAAACCGCUUUCGGGAGGACGAUCGUGACGGUACUCCCGGAAUCAGGCUCGGCUAACUCUGUGCCAGCAGCCGCGGUAAGACAGAGGAGCCAAGCGUUGUCCGGAUUGACUGGGCGUAAAGCGUACGCAGGCGGCUGGGCGCGUGGGGUGUGAAAGCCGGCGGCUUAACUGCCGGAGGCCACCUCAUACGGCCUGGCUCGAGCCCGGGAGAGGUCCGUGGAAUUGCCGGUGUAGUGGUGAAAUGCGUAGAGAUCGGCAGGGACACCAAGGGGGAAACCAGCGGACUGGCCCGGGGCUGACGCUCAGGUACGAAAGCGUGGGGAGCGAACUGGAUUAGAUACCCAGGUAGUCCACGCCGUAAACGAUGGACACUCGGCCUGUGGGCGGACUAUGUGCCGCCUGGGGGCCCCAGCUAACGCGAUAAGUGUCCCGCCUGGGAACUACGAGCGCAAGCUUA